CCUACGGGAGGCAGCAGUGGGGAAUAUUGGACAAUGGGGGCAACCCUGAUCCAGCCAUGCCGCGUGAGUGAUGACGGCCUUAGGGUUGUAAAGCUCUUUUCUCCGGGACGAUAAUGACGGUACCGGAGGAAUAAGCCCCGGCUAACCUCGUGCCAGCAGCCGCGGUAAUACGAAGGGGGCUAGCGUUGCUCGGAAUCACUGGGCGUAAAGGGCGCGUAGGCGGCUGACUUAGUCGAGGGUGAAAGCCCGUGGCUCAACCACGGAAUGGCCUUCGAUACUGGUUGGCUUGAGACCGGAAGAGGACAGCGGAACUGCGAGUGUAGAGGUGAAAUUCGUAGAUAUUCGCAAGAACACCAGUGGCGAAGGCGGCUGUCUGGUCCGGUUCUGACGCUGAGGCGCGAAAGCGUGGGGAGCAAACAGGAUUAGAUACCCUGGCAGUCCACGCUGUAAACGAUGAAUGCUAGCCGUUGGUCUGCAUGCAGGUCAGUGGCGCCGCUAACGCAUUAAGCAUUCCGCCUGGGGGAGGUACGGUCGCGAGAUAAACUAACUAAAGAAGUUAGAG
This 562-nucleotide ribosomal RNA is filed under the name uncultured bacterium. RNAcentral describes it as "bacterial SSU rRNA". It matches the Rfam family "Bacterial small subunit ribosomal RNA", at positions 338 to 916 of the family's 1533-position model. The record is from RNAcentral.